CGUGUCAUUGUUGUAUUAGAAUUCUCUUGUUUUAGAUUCUCAUUCUUCGUUAUUUUAAAAAACGGUUCGGUUCGAAACGGUUUCGAAAAACAAAUUACAAUUAUAAGAUUAGGUGCAUUUGGGUAGUUCCUACCAUUUUUAAAAACUUCUUUUAAAAUUAUAUUUAUAGUUUGUGAAUAAUAAUAUCAUGUACACACGUACCUACGUUUGGUUUAUUUAUGAUUGCUAUUAUUUUUAACAUUUGGCUACUUUUAAAUAUCAUCAAAUGUUGACUAAAACGAUAAAAGUAGUUUUAUACGGUAAUUUCCCGAAGAGUUGGCCACAUCAUACGAUCGGGCAACGACAUAUAUAUUUACAUAUAACGAUCGCAGAACACACGACCGAAGAGCGCUAAGGUGCUCUGCGAACUGUAGAGGCACGCAUUGGCCAUAGUCCCAAUACGCCCCGUAGGGCCAUCGCCCAUCAGUGUGAUCAGUCGAUACUCGGCAGCAGAACUGUGCGCCUCUGACGCAAACUUUCGCGCUCGUCUACGUCUUGAUUGUUUACAAUGAACCAAUGCCCGGUGGAUCGUUUCUCUACGUGAAUCGUACCUUCUGCUGCUUCUCAUGUGAAUUUGCUAGUAACCUUUUGACAAGAGGGUACCACCACAAUAUGCGUCGAAAGGUAUUGCAUGUGUUUCUAUAUUAUAUGUAUGGAUACGUAUCCAUAACAUACAAAAUACAAUACCACGUGUCUUUUUAAAAUAUUUGAUCAAUGUAGAAACAUCAAACUAGUAAUAUUCCCGAGUCACAUUAUAUUGGUCUAUCAAGUGUAAACUCGAGAAUAAAAUGAUGUACCUACGUAUCGUGUUUCAUUGAUGAUGUGAUUUCACUGAACUGGCCGGUAGAGGACUUGUUAAUAAUGUGACCGGACGGUUGACAUUGCGUUGCGAGCCGCGUUUGGUGUCCGGUGUUCACGAUUUCUGAAUUGGACAAAAAGCUUUACCUCGGCGGCAUUCCGGCGGCGGCGGAGAGCCGUCGGCAGGCCGGCCAUGCCAAAGCGUUUGGACAGUUCAUAGUUAUACAUUGCGGACUAAGUCAUGGAUUCCCGUUUGAUGGAACACGGUACGACGUAGAUCAAGAGGAAUGAAAUCGGGCGGGAAGCGCGAAGGUACCACGCUGCUGCCGGACCAGACGUACGAGGCAGUGGAGUGCCGACCGCGUCGCCCGCCCCGUCCGAGCCGCCCGUUCCGCCCACGCCGACAUCG
Pieris napi is the source of this 1246-nucleotide long non-coding RNA. RefSeq lists it as uncharacterized. Lineage: Eukaryota; Metazoa; Arthropoda; Insecta; Lepidoptera; Pieridae. The transcript is spliced from 3 exons. The record is from RefSeq and is a predicted model, not a curated record.